AGUUUUCUUCUCCUUCAAGUCUUUGCAGCUCAUGUUAACUCAGAAACAUGUGGACAGGACAGGGUAGAAUUGGGAAACUGGUUUAUAGAUCACGGGUCUACUGACCUCCUACUCCCUCCAUACCCUCCGUUGGUCCGACCUGUGGUUCAGGAUCCGUAUAGGUCUGGUUGUCAAAUAA
Molecule: long non-coding RNA, 178 nt
Organism: Eurytemora carolleeae
Lineage: Eukaryota; Metazoa; Arthropoda; Copepoda; Calanoida; Temoridae
Exons: 3
Source: RefSeq, a predicted model, not a curated record